GGACUACAGGGGUAUCUAAUCCUGUUUGCUCCCCACGCUUUCGCGUCUCAGCGUCAGUUACUGUCCAGGUCGCCGCCUUCGCCACCGGUGUUCCUCCCGAUAUCUACGAAUUUCACCUCUACUUCGGGAAUUCCGCGACCCUCUCCAGCACUCAAGCAAAGCAGUUUCGGGCGCACUUCCUCAGUUGAGCUGAGGGCUUUCACACCCGACUUGCCAAGCCGCCUACACGCGCUUUACGCCCAAUAAUUCCGAACAACGCUUGCACCCUCUGUAUUACCGCGGCUGCUGGCAC
This 292-nucleotide ribosomal RNA is filed under the name uncultured bacterium. RNAcentral's name for it is "partial 16S ribosomal RNA". The record is from RNAcentral.